ACAAGAAUAAGGAUAUUGUGAAAACUGUCUAUCAAAAAGAUAAGUUGAAAAGUUGAAAACGGGAUUGCCUCCUUUUCCUUUGGUUCGUUCUUUACUGAUAUUAUUAAAACGCUUCCCCCUUUUCAACCUCUCCUUAGUAUAAAUAUUAGAGGACGGAGUAGACUGCCCCGAGCUAAUUAUUCGAAAGUAACGCUUUUUUUCAGAAUUGUAAUAAUAACCGGGAAUAUGAAAUGGUAGUCCGCUCAUAACCCAGGGAUUGAUGGUAAGCAAAAGAAAUUAAAAACAAAAAAGGUUUUGUUAAAAUGUUGUCGUUA
Molecule: non-coding RNA, 314 nt
Organism: Schizosaccharomyces pombe (fission yeast)
Lineage: Eukaryota; Fungi; Ascomycota; Schizosaccharomycetes; Schizosaccharomycetales; Schizosaccharomycetaceae
Source: the annotation of a GenBank genome assembly